GUGCCAGCAGCCGCGGUAAUACGGAAGGUCCGGGCGUUAUCCGGAUUUAUUGGGUUUAAAGGGAGCGCAGCGGAUGAUUAAGCGUGACGUGAAAUGUCCCGGCUCAACCGUGGAACUGCGUCGCGAACUGGUUAUCUUGAGUGAGUGCGACGUCGGCGGAAUUCGUGGUGUAGCGGUGAAAUGCUUAGAUAUCACGAAGAACCCCGAUUGCGAAGGCAGCCGACGAGUCCUUAACUGACGCUAAAGCUCGAAAGUGCGGGUAUCGAACAGGAUUAGAUACCCUGGUAGUCCGCACGGUAAACGAUGGAUGCCCGCUGUGUGCGAUACAGUGUACGCGGCCAAGAGAAAUCGUUAAGCAUCCCACCUGGGGAGUACGCCGGCAACGGUGAAACUCAAAGGAAUUGACGGGGGCCCGCACAAGCGGAGGAACAUGUGGUUUAAUUCGAUGAUACGCGAGGAACCUUACCCGGGCUUGAACUGCAGGAGAACGAUUCAGAGAUGAUGAGGUCCUUCGGGACUCCUGUGGAGGUGCUGCAUGGUUGUCGUCAGCUCGUGCCGUGAGGUGUCGGCUUAAGUGCCAUAACGAGCGCAACCCCUUCAUUAGUUGCCAGCAUGCAAUGGUGGGCACUCUAGUGAUACUGCCACCGUAAGGUGUGAGGAAGGUGGGGAUGACGUCAAAUCAGCACGGCCCUUACGUCCGGGGCUACACACGUGUUACAAUGGGUGGUACAGAGAGUCGGUCGUCUGCAAAUGCGAUCCAAUCAUGAAAGCCAUCCUCAGUUCGGAUUGGGGUCUGCAACCCGACCCCAUGAAGCUGGAUUCGCUAGUAAUCGCGCAUCAGCCAUGGCGCGGUGAAUACGUUCCCGGGCCUUGUACACACCGCCCGU
RNAcentral lists this ribosomal RNA (887 nucleotides) under uncultured bacterium. RNAcentral describes it as "bacterial SSU rRNA". It matches the Rfam family "Bacterial small subunit ribosomal RNA", at positions 505 to 1397 of the family's 1533-position model. The record is from RNAcentral.